GUCCCUGUCGAUUAGUGGUUAAAUCAUCACGUUGUGGUCGUCUCGCUGCAAUUCCGUGAAGCCAGCGGCUCGAAUCCGCUCAGGGACA
Lactarius deliciosus is the source of this 88-nucleotide non-coding RNA. Lineage: Eukaryota; Fungi; Basidiomycota; Agaricomycetes; Russulales; Russulaceae. The record is from the annotation of a GenBank genome assembly.